RNAcentral lists this ribosomal RNA (449 nucleotides) under uncultured bacterium. Its description in RNAcentral is "bacterial SSU rRNA". It matches the Rfam family "Bacterial small subunit ribosomal RNA", at positions 29 to 524 of the family's 1533-position model. The record is from RNAcentral.
AACGAACGCUGGCGGCGUGCCUAACACAUGCAAGUCGAACGAGACCUUCGGGUCUAGUGGCGCACGGGUGCGUAACGCGUGGGAACCUGCCUUUAGGUUCGGAAUAACUCAGAGAAAUUUGAGCUAAUACCGGAUAAUGUCUUCGGACCAAAGAUUUAUCGCCUUUAGAUGGGCCCGCGUAAGAUUAGCUAGUUGGUGGGGUAAAGCCUACCAAGGCGACGAUCUUUAGCUGGUCUGAGAGGAUGAUCAGCCACACUGGGACUGAGACACGGCCCAGACUCCUACGGGAGGCAGCAGUGGGGAAUAUUGGACAAUGGGCGAAAGCCUGAUCCAGCAAUGCCGCGUGAGUGAUGAAGGCCUUAGGGUUGUAAAGCUCUUUUACCCGAGAUGAUAAUGACAGUAUCGGGAGAAUAAGCUCCGGCUAACUCCGUGCCAGCAGCCGCGGUAAU